CAAUAGCGUAUAUUUAAGUUGCUGCAGUUAAAAAGCUCGUAGUUGGAUUUCGGGUGGGAAUGGCCGGUCCGCCGUUUCGGUGUGCACUUGCUACGCCCACCUUGCUGCCGGGGACGUGCUCUUGAGUUCACGCUCGGGACACGGAGUCGGCGAGGUUACUUUGAGUAAAUUAGAGUGUUCAAAGCAGGCCUACGCUCUGAAUACAUUAGCAUGGAAUAACACGAUAGGACUCUGGCCUAUCUUGUUGGUCUGUAGGACCGGAGUAAUGAUUAAGAGGGACAGUCGGGGGCAUUCGUAUUUCAUUGUCAGAGGUGAAAUUCUUGGAUUUAUGAAAGACGAACUACUGCGAAAGCAUUUGCCAAGGAUGUUCUCAUUAA
Molecule: ribosomal RNA, 377 nt
Filed under: uncultured eukaryote
Lineage: Eukaryota
Description: partial 18S ribosomal RNA
Rfam family: Eukaryotic small subunit ribosomal RNA
Source: RNAcentral